Molecule: non-coding RNA, 5545 nt
Organism: Ictidomys tridecemlineatus (thirteen-lined ground squirrel)
Lineage: Eukaryota; Metazoa; Chordata; Mammalia; Rodentia; Sciuridae
Source: RefSeq, a predicted model, not a curated record
GAUCCGCGAGGCCCCUCCAGCGAUACCCCAGGCCAGAGGCAUCUAGAGCAGCCAAGGGUCUCUUGGGCCCUGGAAGCUGAAGCAUUUGCUCCCCUCGCCACCACCCCGAGUGCAUCGCAUAUUGCAUGUCCUUGUGCAUGCAGGCGCCGCUCAUGUGCCCUGAACUUUGCAUAUGCAUACAGGUGCCCUACGUGUGCACUGCAACAUUGCUUGGUUCGGUGCAUGCAAAUGCUACACAUAUGCACGGUGUUUUAACAUAGGCUUUGGUUCUGAUCGCGUGUUGCUUGUUCCUGUGCAGUGGGAUGCUAUACGUGCACAAGCUUACAGGUGCCACAUGUGUGCUGAAUGCUGUGGGUAACUCACGAAGGAGCCACAUAUGUACACUGCAGUGUGGCAUAUUCAGUGCAUACUCUGGCGUAAACGCUGCAAUGUUGCAUGUCCCUAGGCACGGGGAUGCUACACGUGUGCAGUGUAUUACAUGUUUUCCUGAGUCCCUAUCUAUUCCCACAAGUGCCUUUCCCUGUGCCAGGGGCGCCCCCAUGUUGCAUCUGUUUGUGUAAAAGCAGCAGAGUUGCACAGACCCACCCCUUCCCCAUCCUGGCACGGUGCCCAGGAACCAUUGGGUGGGGCCUGAGCCCACAUGGUUCAGGCAGUACCCAGGAGAGGCCUAUGGCUCAGGGCCCUGGUCAGGCGGUUUGUGGCCUGGGCAUCAUGCCACCAGGAAGGUGGGCUGACUGGGGACACACCACGGUAGCCAGAACAAGUAGGUUAAUCUGAUGGCUCUGGUCUGAGAAGCCAGCAGGGGGCAGCUUUGCAAUGAGGGUGGGAUGGUUUCCGGGCAAACUUCUUGAAGGCUCUCUAGCCAGGAGGGGACCAAUCCUGGGCAGGGAGGAGACUCCUUGGUCCUCCCAAUCCCAACCCCACUUUACCCAAUACUAUCUCUGGAGUUUUAUCACCCUCAAGACUGGGGCAAGAUGGAAGAGCUCAUAUAUCCCCAGGGGCCAUACCAGGAAGGGACAGAGAACUCUCCCUGGUUCCUUUCCACUGUCCCUCCCCAUUCAACAGUCAGUGACAGGUGUUGUGAACGAUUGUGAGAGAUUAUCGACUUUAAUGGAAGGAGGUAAUAAGGGGCGAUGAAGGAAUCUCACCUGUCACCUUAAGGUAAUUUAUGAGCUAUAGGAAGCAGGGAGGAGGGCUGGGCAGACAUCUUCUCUUUCCCUGUGGGAGCCCCGGGAAAACAGUGCCUUGGCCUAGCACUGGCAGGAAGGUUCCUGGGUUCUUGCUAGCACCCUCAAACACACCCCAGCAUAUCUGGGUCUGAAGGCCCAGCUGCACUACAAAAGCUGAGCCAGGUGGGCCUGGUCAGCUGCAAAACAGGUUGGGAACCACCCUAGUGCAGUAGGAGAUACUAGGUCCCUUCCUUGCUGUAAGAGACAAUAGGGUUGCUGGGGUUGGGGUCUCAAGGAGGUGGACAAAAGUGGGGAAAGCGGUCAGGACAUGGGUUGCCCCCAAGAAUCCAAGGAGUGGCCCUUAGAAGUCUCCAGGACCCUGUCCUCCAGAGUUCCAGCCCUUUCCUCCUCUACAGAGAGCCUGCCUCCUUCUUUAUGAAUAUUCAUGAUCAUUUGCAUACUAGAGACCCAGAGCCCAGAGAAACCCAGGCAGAUCUCUUGCAGAUGUGAUGCAGCUGGAUCCCUAAGGCCCCCCUCCCCCGUUUCCAGGAUCCAGCUGGGUGAGGGGUAAUAGGAGGGGCUGGCUGCAAAGAGACAGCAGCGUUUUUUGUCUGUUUCUCUUGUUUCUUGGUAACCCUCUGACUUCUUGACCCCAUUCAUUCAGCCACAUCGAUGGAUGGAUGCCCUAGAAGAUACAGGUGGUAGGACAGAGUGAGGGACUGACACAGUUGGUACCUCAUACCCCCAAGGAAGGGGAGUUCUCAGAGCAGGCUGGAGUGGGAGGGCUGUGGGAGCUGGGUGGACACACAGGACCUGCAAGGGUUGUGCAGAAGCCGGUGAACUAGGGCAGACCUGUGGAAGCCUCUCCCUGGAAGUGCCUCCUGCAUCAGGAUUUCCCACCUCCUUUCCCAUGAGCCCCUGCCCUUCUAGACUCACUCUGGUGAUAAUGCCGCCCGCCCGCCGGCCUGGGAGGACUUGGAGUAAUUACAAAUCGCUUCCAUAUUCAAAUCCAGCUGGUUGAGGAGAAAUUACUUCUCUGAACAGCCCAGGCGGGGGUGGGAAGAACAAGUCUUAGCCCCAGCAGGGGCCUCCAGGGAGGCUGGGGCAGUCUGGGCACCGGAAGGGGUGCCUGUGAGCUUGAGCCCAGAGGGCUUGGGCAGACAUAGCCCUAUCCCCACAUAGUGGACAAAGGACAGUGACCUCAGCCCUACAGCCCCAUUGGGCCCCCCUCUGGAACCUCUAAUGGGAUGGAGGACCAACCCCACAGGGCAACCAGAGGCCAGGCUCCCCACCCUGUUCUCACGCUGCCAUGCUAGGUGACCUUGAGAAAGUCCCUUUGGCUCUCUGGACCUCUGUUUCCUUAUCUGUGAAGUGGUGUAAACCCUCUCAGCCUGGCUCCUGGAAGGUAAAAGGUAUAGAUUAGCAAGGGCUAUGCCCUGGAUAGGGGCCUUUUAAAAUAACUAUCUUAUUAUCAAUUAAUCAGUAUUUUUAUUAACAGUAACAACCACCAAUGCACCAGCCGGGAGGCAGCAGAGCCAGCAAAGCUCAAGCCAGGGGGCAAUUCACGAGAGGACGCGAUCAAGGUAUUAAAAGUUACGGAGACACUGGGAGAAAAGAGAGCAAGAAGCAUCCAGCAGAGCAAGAGGAGUUGAAGUUAGAUCCAAGAAGCACUUCCCAGCCUUUGAGGAGGUAUCUGGAGCAGCUGGAGUCUACACAAGAGUAAGAGCUUCCAGGAGGAAGUUCUGCUGUCCCAUCCCGGCCACACUUCUGCUUGCACAGCCCCAAGAAUAGGGAACUCCCUUCUUCCACUGCCCUGCCGCACAGCUGCUCCUCAGCAAGUGAAUUCUGCACACUGAGUUGACUUCUCCCCUCCAGACUGUUGUAGCAAAGGAGUCCCAAUUGUCAUCAUGGGGAAACUGAGACCCAGAAAGGGUAAAGGAGUGGCUCCAGGGUUCCCCAGUCCUCUCUGGUAGAGGCUCAAGCCUUCUCCAAUGUUUCUGCCCUCCACCUUCCCUGUGGCCCUGCUCCAUCCCAGACAUCUCAGUCCCAGAGGGUACCUUCUCAGCCGCCAUCUCUUCUGCUCAGUCUUCAAGCCUCCCACCUCAGCGGUCACCGCUGCAGCAGCUUCUGGCUCCAGUGUCUUUGGGUUAAGAAUGAAAGAUUUUUGGAAACACUGGUGUCCCUGUAAGGAUGUAAGUGGUGAGGGGACAGGGUCCAUGUUGCACCAACCUGGCCUCUAGCCUCCAAGAAGGAAAAACAGGCAAACCAAUAAUCCUCAUCCUGUGCCUGGAAUCCAGUCUGUCCUCUCAUCUGGAAGUUCUUCCUGGUGUUUAGUUGUCAUAUCUCGAGCUGCAAAGGAAGUUGAUUUGCUUUAGCUGGGUUCUGAAAGGCUAUGGACUCAACAAGGGAGGGAGGAAGAUACCAUGAGUGCCUACUGUGUGCCAGAAGCAGGAAUAAAUGUGUGUAAAAGAGGCAUCCUAUUUCACCUCAUAUAAACUAGUGAGUUAGGGAUUAGUAAUCCUCUUUACAGAGAAGGAAAUUGAUCCAUAGAGAGGGAAAAACCAUACAGGCAGGAUAGGGCUGAACUUGAGUUCCAACAAGUCUUGGCUUUGCUUAGGGAGCUGUCUUCCCUCAGGGAUACUUGACUGGGUGGCAGUGGUCACUAUCAACUCAAGCCACCCACCCCAAACCUGGGAUCCGUGAUUCGCAAAACACGCAUGCACCUCCCACGAACUCAUCAGAUAAAAUGGGAAAGAAGCAAAGGGAACCGUCUGUCCGGGGAUAGUUACCCAAACAAGCUCAGGCCCCGCCUCUAUGUUAAUGACAUGCAGAUAUGCAAAUUUGCACAAGCAACUGCUCAAACCUUAAGUAGCAAUGGGGUGACACAGGAGCAGUUGCUAUGGAAAUCCAAAAAUGAUGCCCCCCCACCUCCUGCACCAGCAGGUUCAUAGACACGUGCACAAAGAUCCAGGGUUCCUCGCUCUGGCGCCCAGAGGAUCACCGAGUGGCAGAGGGUGUGAACCGGAAGGACCCUCAGAGACUGUGUCCAGCCGGGGGACGCUGAGACCCGGGGAAAGUCGCAGGAAGGGCACCAUCUCGAUCCUUGUGGGCCUGGGGCACCUUCCACCCAAACCCUUAGGGUAAAGGACGACUCCUACUCCGGCCUAGCAACGCGAGCUCCGCCCAGCGUUGCAUAGCAACGUCCCUCGAGCCUAGCAACCCCGGCCACGCCCCCUAGCAACGUCAGGCCUAAGCCGCGCUCCCGGCCCCUACCAAAAGAGAGACGGGAAAGGGACAGUGGACUAGGGCUGAAAGGUGGGUGGGGGUCACGUCACCCAGUCGCCGCCUCCAGACAGGCGACGGGAUCCUCACAUAGACCCCCUCCCCGCCGGCGAGGCGUAAGAGGGCCGCGUUAGUACCCCCCUUUACAGAGAGGCAAACCAAAGCUCAGAAGCGAAGGCCCUGUCUGGAGGCUAGUGCUUGUUCUUCCCGGAGCGCAGCAAGCGCUUAGUCUCCCGGGGGGCGGAGGGGAGCCCUGGCCUGGGGGAGGGGUGCACAGCCCGUCUCCUCCGCCCCACUGCGUUAGGAAAACCACCCAAGUUGCGGACUCCAAAUCGAGCUGCAGGUUUGCAUAGUAAUUUGCAUCAUUUGCAUAUAGUGCGGAGGCUGUGGUGCUCCCUUGUCCCUCAGAGCCAGAUAAGUUCUCCAAGGAGCCCUGCUACCUUCCCUGGUUCACCUGUCGAUCCCCCUCUCCCUGCCCCCCACCUACAGCCCCCCGCGCCCCCGCUUCCAACCCCUUCCACUAAGUUCACUCACCCCGCCCCCAGCUCAGCCUCUGUCCUGCCAGCCCCGACCUCCAUCCCAAGGCCAAGGGCCCCCUCUGCUGUCGGCCGCGGGUAGGGCAGCUGCAGAGCUCAAGGGGCAGGGAAGAGGGAAACCACCGUGGCCCCUUCCUUCAGGGUCUAGAGCGAGGUGGAAACGUGGGUAGAGGAUACAUACCUUUAGUCUCUGGAGCGAAGGGGGGGGGGUUCUGCAGAAUUCUCUCCCCUUGGCCAGCCCCCCCACAGUGGGCUGGCUAGCCAGGGCAGCUGGUUCUGAGGUCAGUCUUCAGACUCAAUUCUCUCAAGUUACACACACGGAGACACUUUAUCAUUAGAGCUGCUGUGACGAGCUCAUUGCAGGGCCAAGGCAAGGUAGCACCGCCCAAUGCUAGGCAAUCAGACAUAUGGACGUGCAUAAGGACACACAUGCAUGCACAGGGACACUCAAAGAUACAUACACACAGGAAUAUGGUGGCACUUUGUGGUACCCCUCAUCUAUCCAAAGGAAGAAAUCUUGGUCACUCAGAAGCUUUAUUAAAAAAACAUUGAAAUUUG